RNAcentral lists this ribosomal RNA (497 nucleotides) under uncultured bacterium. RNAcentral describes it as "partial 16S ribosomal RNA". It matches the Rfam family "Bacterial small subunit ribosomal RNA", at positions 28 to 507 of the family's 1533-position model. The record is from RNAcentral.
GAUGAACGCUGGCGGCGUGCCUAAUACAUGCAAGUCGAGCGAACGGACGAGAAGCUUGCUUCUCUGAUGUUAGCGGCGGACGGGUGAGUAACACGUGGAUAACCUACCUAUGAGACUGGGAUAACUUCGGGAAACCGGAGCUAAUACCGGAUGAUAUUUUGAACCGCAUGGUUCAAAAGUGAAAGACGGUCUUGCUGUCACUUAUAGAUGGAUCCGCGCUGCAUUAGCUAGUUGGUAAGGUAACGGCUUACCAAGGCAACGAUGCAUAGCCGACCUGAGAGGGUGAUCGGCCACACUGGAACUGAGACACGGUCCAGACUCCUACGGGAGGCAGCAGUAGGGAAUCUUCCGCAAUGGGCGAAAGCCUGGCGGAGCAACGCCGCGUGAGUGAUGAAGGUCUUCGGAUCGUAAAACUCUGUUAUUAGGGAAGAACAUAUGUGUAAGUAACUGUGCACAUCUUGACGGUACCUAAUCAGAAAGCCACGGCUAACUACGUG